RNAcentral lists this long non-coding RNA (920 nucleotides) under Capsicum annuum. RNAcentral's name for it is "long non-coding RNA (CANN_LNC004745)". The record is from RNAcentral. Lineage: Eukaryota; Viridiplantae; Streptophyta; Magnoliopsida; Solanales; Solanaceae.
UUCAUAACUCUCUACUUUUUUCCUUGGUAUUAAACCCAUACACAAUUGUUAAGGAAAACGUCUCUUGAGCAACUUUAUCCUCCACUUCACAAGUAACACUUUAAGCAUCUCCAUCAAUCCAUUUUAGUUGAAACUAAUCAUGUCUCCAGAAUAUCAAUACUCUACCAUUGUGAUGAUAAUCCAAAUUUGUCAUAUACUUCCAUACUCCAAAAAUAUAACUCACAAUAACAUGUAUUUUAUUCACCUUCACUUUGGUUUAUAACAAGGCUACUAAACCAACAUUCUCCCUUUGACAAAGGAGUAUUACCUCCUUUUGCUUGUUAGGGACAUUCAAGCCCCUAACAUUCCAGCAUAGUAUAUUAUCCACUAAGUAGAGGGGCCAAAACACUGCCACCCCCAUGUCGAACAAGACUUCGUUGCAAAUCUUCACUUGUUGCUCCCUCACAAAGCACAUUAAAAAGAUUUAGCAGUUUGUGAGGUUGCGGUCCAUCCUGUUACUGUAUCGUCUUGAGACACUUGUUUCCCUGCAUUUCUUUUUGAUUUCUUCACCAUUGCCUCCUUCCUAUGUUCAUUGAACCCAUCAGCUUUUACCACUUCUCUCAUUGGUGCCAUCUGUUGGUCAAUCAUGUCUCUGUUAACAACAGGUUUUUUUACAUUCUCCACUUGAGGCUUUUUCUUCCUGCAAUCUACCUCAUUGUGGCCAUAAUUCUGACAGAACUUGCACAGUACAGGCUUUCAAUCAUAUUGGACUUUCUGCUCUACAAGGACACAUUUUUCACUCUUGAAGUGUACCACAUCAGGAAGAACAGCUCCUACAUCACCCUCAAUGAGCAGCCUUGUAAAGAGCAAGCCUAUCUUCUUCUUAGUAUUGCUAUCCGACAUUAAUGGUUUUCCUAUUAGGCUCCCAAUCUUACUCAACC